UUCUUAAUAGUAUAAAUUAAAAUACUAUAUUUUUUCAUAAUAUAAAUAUGCAUACCAAAAAACAUUUAAGAUU
This 73-nucleotide transfer RNA is filed under the name Achatinella sowerbyana. RNAcentral describes it as "tRNA-Glu". The record is from RNAcentral. Lineage: Eukaryota; Metazoa; Mollusca; Gastropoda; Stylommatophora; Achatinellidae.